Molecule: ribosomal RNA, 1405 nt
Filed under: Salmonella enterica subsp. enterica serovar Typhimurium
Lineage: Bacteria; Pseudomonadati; Pseudomonadota; Gammaproteobacteria; Enterobacterales; Enterobacteriaceae
Description: partial 23S ribosomal RNA
Rfam family: Bacterial large subunit ribosomal RNA
Source: RNAcentral
AGUGGGAGCACAGGUUUACCUGUGUGACUGCGUACCUUUUGUAUAAUGGGUCAGCGACUUAUAUUCUGUAGCAAGGUUAACCGUAUAGGGGAGCCGUAGGGAAACCGAGUCUUAACCGGGCGUUAAGUUGCAGGGUAUAGACCCGAAACCCGGUGAUCUAGCCAUGGGCAGGUUGAAGGUUGGGUAACACUAACUGGAGGACCGAACCGACUAAUGUUGAAAAAUUAGCGGAUGACCUGUGGCUGGGGGUGAAAGGCCAAUCAAACCGGGAGAUAGCUGGUUCUCCCCGAAAGCUAUUUAGGUAGCGCCUCGUGAAUUCAUCUCCGGGGGUAGAGCACUGUUUCGGCUAGGGGGCCAUCCCGGCUUACCAACCCGAUGCAAACUGCGAAUACCGGAGAAUGUUAUCACGGGAGACACACGGCGGGUGCUAACGUCCGUCGUGAAGAGGGAAACAACCCAGACCGCCAGCUAAGGUCCCAAAGUCAUGGUUAAGUGGGAAACGAUGUGGGAAGGCCCAGACAGCCAGGAUGUUGGCUUAGAAGCAGCCAUCAUUUAAAGAAAGCGUAAUAGCUCACUGGUCGAGUCGGCCUGCGCGGAAGAUGUAACGGGGCUAAACCAUGCACCGAAGCUGCGGCAGCGAACGUAUCACCCAAGACAACUUUACGGAGUUGACGAUUGACGGAGCGAAGCGACGUCAAAGCGUUCAUUAAAGUCGAGUUGGCUUAGGGAUACGUUCGUUGGGUAGGGGAGCGUUCUGUAAGCCUGUGAAGGUGUGUCGUGAGGCAUGCUGGAGGUAUCAGAAGUGCGAAUGCUGACAUAAGUAACGAUAAAGCGGGUGAAAAGCCCGCUCGCCGGAAGACCAAGGGUUCCUGUCCAACGUUAAUCGGGGCAGGGUGAGUCGACCCCUAAGGCGAGGCCGAAAGGCGUAGUCGAUGGGAAACGGGUUAAUAUUCCCGUACUUGGUGUUACUGCGAAGGGGGGACGGAGAAGGCUAUGUUGGCCGGGCGACGGUUGUCCCGGUUUAAGCGUGUAGGUGUGUGUUCCAGGUAAAUCCGGUUCACUUUAACACUGAGGCGUGACGACGAGGCACUACGGUGCUGAAGCAACAAAUGCCCUGCUUCCAGGAAAAGCCUCUAAGCAUCAGGUAACACGAAAUCGUACCCCAAACCGACACAGGUGGUCAGGUAGAGAAUACCAAGGCGCUUGAGAGAACUCGGGUGAAGGAACUAGGCAAAAUGGUGCCGUAACUUCGGGAGAAGGCACGCUGACACGUAGGUGAAGUGAUUUACUCAUGGAGCUGAAGUCAGUCGAAGAUACCAGCUGGCUGCAACUGUUUAUUAAAAACACAGCACUGUGCAAACACGAAAGUGGACGUAUACGGUGUGACGCCUGCCCGGUGCCGGAA